AAUAUAGUGCCUGAUUUAAAAGGAUAGCUUUGAUAGAGCUAAUCAUGUAUUUUUUAUACCUAUAUUA
Molecule: transfer RNA, 67 nt
Filed under: Nanosesarma minutum
Lineage: Eukaryota; Metazoa; Arthropoda; Malacostraca; Decapoda; Sesarmidae
Description: tRNA-Ile
Source: RNAcentral